Molecule: non-coding RNA, 1357 nt
Organism: Meleagris gallopavo (turkey)
Lineage: Eukaryota; Metazoa; Chordata; Aves; Galliformes; Phasianidae
Source: RefSeq, a predicted model, not a curated record
CGCCUGGCCCAGCCUGGCCGGGACGCGCGCCCUCUCGCAGCCCCGCUCACACCUGCUCGCCUCCUUGGGCCCGGUGCUCCCGUCCCAAAUGGGGCACCGUGGAAAGUGCCUAGUUGUACUGCAAGGCCAGCCGGGAGCUGCACGGGCCGGAGAUGAGCUUAAUGGUGUGCAGCGGUGCUGAAAGGCCUGAGCUGCAUUUUCUUAAUGGCAUAAGCUGCUAGAUUUGUGCUGAGUUUAUGCAAAACAGGAUACGAAUGGAAACAAAUUUUAUGCAUUCAGUGACAACUGCUACAGCUUUAACUGCCGUAGAAUCAUAGAAUCAUGGAAUUGCUCAGGUUGGCAAAGACCUUAAAGAUCAUCGAGUCCAACCAUGACCUAACCACACUACCCUAACUCUAACAACCCUCUGCUAAAUCAUGUCCCUGAGCACCACAUCCAGACGGUUUCCUUUUCGCACCUCGUGUCACUUGCUCUUUGUGCUUCUCUUGUGUGAGUGGUGGCAGAGCCUGCACUCCCUUCUCAGGGGUGUAUGGAGGAGUAACUGCAGCUGUGUCCUGUGCCACACCAGAGGAAGGAGAGUGUCCGUGCAUCAGGCACUCCUGAGUCCAGGGAAAGGAGUGUUGUGUCUCAGCACUGCUGUUUCAGCAAGUGUGUUGUGGCUCGUGUCAGACUCCUUGACCGUGUGGAGGUGCUUUGGAGACUAGGAACCAAAGUUGUGUGUGCAGCCAGUGAGUCUGCCCAUAACAUGAGAUACAGAGGGAAAAUCAUUCACCUUUACAAAUCUCCAGAAGGUGGGGAGAGGGCCAGUGGAGACAUGUAAUGAAUGUCAAUAACUAUAUUCAAUUUCUUUGGCAAGUGGUAAGUACUGUUCCCGGUCGUUUGCUCUUGCAGACUAUGUUUAAAGUAUUUCAUAAUAUAAAGCAAACCUUUCUGGAGGCCAGUGCCAAUUUUGGUUGAAGAAAUGUAUAGCAGCACAGUUGAAAGUUUUCAUUAUCUUCUUACACUCAAUUACUAAUGAAUAUUCUUUAAUUUUUUUUUUACCACACGUUUCACAUUCAUAUUACUUUUUUUUGCCUGAGGCCUAUGUGAAUAAAACAGUGUACUUCCUGUUUUGACAACAUGCUGAUGAUGUAUCUUAAGAGAAAAUCAUUAGGAAUAGCCCUGCUGACAGUGUUGCUGGAUGGUAACUUGCACUGAAUCCUGUAAUUUUACUCGUGAUUUUACCUGUAAAGGCAGGAAGUAAAAGAAUUGUCUUGUAAGAAUCUUUAGUAUUUCUCAUCCACGCUUCGAAAGUAGACAGGCUGUGGGUAUAUCCACUAGUGAACAGUUCACAGAUCUCUUUAAUCCCUCACAGAUC